This 779-nucleotide long non-coding RNA is filed under the name Gossypium raimondii (Peruvian cotton). Its description in RNAcentral is "long non-coding RNA (GRAI_LNC002452)". Lineage: Eukaryota; Viridiplantae; Streptophyta; Magnoliopsida; Malvales; Malvaceae. The record is from RNAcentral.
AGAUACAAAAAUAUUUGGACAUAUCUGGUGUUCAAACUUAUGUAAUAAACAGUGCUAAGGUUGUCUUCCUCAAUGAAAGGCCUCAACCAAGGCCUGGUAAAGGUGUUAUCAAUACUUGUGAAGUCUGUGAUCGUAGCCUUGUUGAUAACUUUCGGUUUUGCUCCCUUGGUUGCAAGGUAAAUUUUUUUUUUUUAAUCUUUCAUCUACUUUUUAAUUGUUCAUCUCCAUUUUUCCUUACUGCCUCCAACUUUAUUCGCCUGUGUAAUCAACAAUAAUGCUGAUUUAUUUUGAAUCUAGACCCGAAUCUGGACUGAAAUUGAAUUAUAAAUUUUUGAGAGCUCCAAAUAUAAUAUUAUGAUGUAUAUUUUGAAGGUAUUUAAUAAAUUUUUUUAGGCCAAAAUACAAUUUAAUCAUAUAUUGCAUGAAUUUUGGGGUCAAGCCUCUGCCCUGCUGCUUUUAAAUUUUAAAUUCGUCGGAAGUUAUAUGAAAUCGAAAUGAUUUUAAAGUUUGGAAUUGACGUGAUUGAAAUGCAGAUUGUUGGGACGUCAAAGGAUUUUCAAAAGAAGAAAAGGCAACUAGCGAUGGUAUCGUCGGACUCUGAGGAUUCAUACAGUAGUAGUAGCCAUGGGAAGCCAAGGAAGAAUGACGACAACAGCAACAAAGUUCGUAGUUUUAGUCCAUCGACGCCACCUCCGACUUCGGUUAAUUACCGAAAUGCUAAACGUAGAAAAGGGAUUCCCCAGCGAGCUCCAAUGGCAGGACUAAUCAUACAAUAUUAA